Long non-coding RNA from Mustela erminea (ermine), 229 nucleotides. RefSeq lists it as uncharacterized. The record is from RefSeq and is a predicted model, not a curated record. The transcript is spliced from 2 exons. NCBI's taxonomy places the organism in Eukaryota, Metazoa, Chordata, Mammalia, Carnivora, Mustelidae.
AGGAGGCAGUUGUGUGAUGGCCUUGAGGAAGAAGGGACCUGGAAGAUCUGGUGUGGCCGGACCCGAAGAACAAAGAGGAGAGAGCAACCCUGCUCUGAGAGAACCCUGCAAUGUGCUGUGUGAAGCUCAGGAGCACACCAGUAACAUCCAUGCUCUGCCCUGCUGGCCUUCGCAGGAAGCAGGCCAUGGCUCCAGGAGGUAAAUGCCACAAAAGAGGUUUAUAAUGGAA